Molecule: ribosomal RNA, 276 nt
Filed under: uncultured Geobacter sp.
Lineage: Bacteria; Pseudomonadati; Thermodesulfobacteriota; Desulfuromonadia; Geobacterales; Geobacteraceae
Description: partial 16S ribosomal RNA
Rfam family: Bacterial small subunit ribosomal RNA
Source: RNAcentral
UAUCCUCAGUUGCCAUCAUUAAGUUGGGCACUCUGUGGAGACUGACCGGUGUCAAACCGGAGGAAGGUGGGGAUGACGUCAAGUCCUCAUGGCCCUUAUGACCAGGGCUACACACGUGCUACAAUGGCCGGUACAAAGAGUUGCGAUACCGCGAGGUGGAGCUAAUCUCAUAAAGCCGGUCUCAGUUCGGAUUGGAGUCUGCAACUCGACUCCAUGAAGUUGGAAUCGCUAGUAAUCGCGGAUCAGCACGCCGCGGUGAAUACGUUCCCGGGCCUU